Molecule: non-coding RNA, 122 nt
Filed under: pig gut metagenome
Description: FMN riboswitch (RFN element)
Rfam family: FMN riboswitch aptamer (RFN element)
About the family: The RFN element is a highly conserved domain that is found frequently in the 5'-untranslated regions of prokaryotic mRNAs that encode for flavin mononucleotide (FMN) biosynthesis and transport proteins.
Source: RNAcentral
GUUUCAGGGCGAGGUGUGAUUCCUCACCGGUGGUAAAGUCCACGAGCGGAAGCAUUGAUAAAGAAUGCUCCUGCCGAUUCGGUGUAAUUCCGAAACCGACGGUAUAGUCCGGAUGAAAGAAA